UGGCCCCUUGGUCAAGUGGUUAAGACACCGCCCUUUCACGGCGGUAACAUGGGUUCAAAUCCCGUAGGGGUCAUC
RNAcentral lists this transfer RNA (75 nucleotides) under Companilactobacillus sp. RD055328. Its description in RNAcentral is "tRNA-Glu". It matches the Rfam family "tRNA". Rfam says of the family: Transfer RNA (tRNA) molecules are approximately 80 nucleotides in length. Their secondary structure includes four short double-helical elements and three loops (D, anti-codon, and T loops). Further hydrogen bonds mediate the characteristic L-shaped molecular structure. tRNAs have two regions of fundamental functional importance: the anti-codon, which is responsible for specific mRNA codon recognition, and the 3' end, to which the tRNAs corresponding amino acid is attached (by aminoacyl-tRNA synthetases). tRNAs cope with the degeneracy of the genetic code in two manners: having more than one tRNA (with a specific anti-codon) for a particular amino acid; and 'wobble' base-pairing, i.e. permitting non-standard base-pairing at the 3rd anti-codon position. The record is from RNAcentral. Lineage: Bacteria; Bacillati; Bacillota; Bacilli; Lactobacillales; Lactobacillaceae.